CCUACGGGAGGCAGCAGUGAGGAAUAUUGGUCAAUGGACGAGCGUCUGAACCAGCCAAGUAGCGUGAAGGAUGACUGCCCUAUGGGUUGUAAACUUCUUUUAUAUGGGAAUAAAAUGUUCCACGUGUGGGCUUUUGUAUGUACCCUAUGAAUAAGGAUCGGCUAACUCCGUGCCAGCCGCCGCGGUAAUACGGAGGAUCCGAGCGUUGUUCGGAUUUUUUGGGUUUAAAGGGAGCGUAGGUGGGUUGUUAAGUCAGUUGUGAAAGUUUGUGGCUCAACCGUAAAAUUGCAGUUGAAACUGGCAGUCUUGAGUACAGUAGAGGUAGGCGGAAUAAGUGAUGUAGCGGUGAAAUGCUUAGAUAUCACGAAGAACUCCGAUUGCGAAGGCAGCUCACUGGACUGAAACUGACACUGAGGCUCGAAAGUGUGGGUAUCAAACAGGAUUAGAUACCCGGGUAGUC
RNAcentral lists this ribosomal RNA (460 nucleotides) under uncultured bacterium. Its description in RNAcentral is "partial 16S ribosomal RNA". It matches the Rfam family "Bacterial small subunit ribosomal RNA", at positions 338 to 795 of the family's 1533-position model. The record is from RNAcentral.